CAGAGCAUAGCUAAACACUAGAGCAUCUCCCUUACACUGAGAAGGUGUCCGCGAACCCCGGACUGCUCUGA
This 71-nucleotide transfer RNA is filed under the name Lophiodes insidiator (Natal angler). RNAcentral's name for it is "tRNA-Val". It matches the Rfam family "tRNA". From Rfam's summary of the family: Transfer RNA (tRNA) molecules are approximately 80 nucleotides in length. Their secondary structure includes four short double-helical elements and three loops (D, anti-codon, and T loops). Further hydrogen bonds mediate the characteristic L-shaped molecular structure. tRNAs have two regions of fundamental functional importance: the anti-codon, which is responsible for specific mRNA codon recognition, and the 3' end, to which the tRNAs corresponding amino acid is attached (by aminoacyl-tRNA synthetases). tRNAs cope with the degeneracy of the genetic code in two manners: having more than one tRNA (with a specific anti-codon) for a particular amino acid; and 'wobble' base-pairing, i.e. permitting non-standard base-pairing at the 3rd anti-codon position. Lineage: Eukaryota; Metazoa; Chordata; Actinopteri; Lophiiformes; Lophiidae. The record is from RNAcentral.